GAUGAACGCUGGCGGCGUGCCUAAUACAUGCAAGUCGAGCGAACAGAUAAGGAGCUUGCUCCUUUGACGUUAGCGGCGGACGGGUGAGUAACACGUGGAUAACCUACCUAUAAGACUGGGAUAACUUCGGGAAACCGGAGCUAAUACCGGAUAACAUAUUGAACCGCAUGGUUCAAUAGUGAAAGGCGGCUUUGCUGUCACUUAUAGAUGGAUCCGCGCCGUAUUAGCUAGUUGGUAAGGUAACGGCUUACCAAGGCAACGAUACGUAGCCUACCUGAGAGGGUGAUCGGCCACACUGGAACUGAGACACGGUCCAGACUCCUACGGGAGGCAGCAGUAGGGAAUCUUCCGCAAUGGGCGAAAGCCUGACGGAGCAACGCCGCGUGAGUGAUGAAGGUCUUCGGAUCGUAAAACUCUGUUAUCAGGGAAGAACAAAUGUGUAAGUAACUGUGCACAUCUUGACGGUACCUGAUCAGAAAGCCACGGCUAACUACGUG
Molecule: ribosomal RNA, 497 nt
Filed under: uncultured bacterium
Lineage: Bacteria
Description: partial 16S ribosomal RNA
Rfam family: Bacterial small subunit ribosomal RNA
Source: RNAcentral